GCAAAGCCCACGGUGCUGCUGCUCUUUGGGAGUGGGUGGUGCUGCUGAUGGAUUUGGAUUCAAAUUCCACAUCUGCAUCUUCUGCUCACACAGGUCAAUGCAUUUUGAAGCAGAUGGAGCAGUAAUUCAUGAAAAAUAGUGUUUAGGAAAGAAAAGGAAAUGAUUUGGAAUCUGAAGUGUGGACGUGCAGAACUUUUUGGGACAGAUGUGUUAGUGACAGGAU
This 223-nucleotide long non-coding RNA is filed under the name Parus major (Great Tit). RNAcentral's name for it is "lncRNA (ENSPMJG00000003938.1)". The record is from RNAcentral. Lineage: Eukaryota; Metazoa; Chordata; Aves; Passeriformes; Paridae.